This is a long non-coding RNA of Mercurialis annua (annual mercury), 762 nucleotides long. RefSeq lists it as uncharacterized. The record is from RefSeq and is a predicted model, not a curated record. Lineage: Eukaryota; Viridiplantae; Streptophyta; Magnoliopsida; Malpighiales; Euphorbiaceae. The transcript has 2 exons.
CCCUCAAAACAUCAAAUGGUUAUCAUUUAUACCUCACGUAAUAAAAAAAUGCAAAAAUCUCUCAAGAAAAAAUAAAAGUUUACAUAAAUACUUCAAAAUCUAAAUAAGCUGAUUUAAUAAUAAAAUAGGACAAUUGUGCCCUCCUUCUUCCCAACACAAAGAAAAACAAAUUAAGUACGGCAACAUUACAGUACGGCGAAAAUUGAGCUCUCCGGCGAGUGGCGAUGAACUGGAAGACUAUUUCCGGGCUAUAAAUGUGUUGGAGGACGGAGAAUACAACAACGAUGGAGCCUCAAAGAAUGUUUGGCUUCUCUAAAAGACGAGAGAUGACCCAACGGCCGGCCACCGAAAGUGGAGUAGAGCAAAAAUAUGGGCUCGUGUUCUUUGGUCUCCAAUCGCCUUGUUACUGUUGUUUUGCAUCGCAGCAAGAUCUUCUAUCGAUGGAUCUCCGAUCAUGGCGGCGGCGGCCGUGGCGGUGAAUAUUUUUGGAGAAAAGUUUAUCGGCGAUGGCGAUGUAACAUUGACAUUCUGCUACUGAAAUUUAAUUGCAAUUCUGCUACUGAAAUCUGAUUGCAAUUGUGUUGUUAAUGGAGACUUACAAACUUAAAUAAUCUUACAAAUGAUAGUCAAAUAUGGCAAUUGUUUCAGUAAUAAAACUUUGAAAUGUGAAACUUAAUCAAUAGAUAAGAGUAGCAAUUACAUUUUACCUAAUAAAAGAUUAACAUCUGAUGUCAAGUAAAUAUUGUUAAUUUUAAUGAUCUA